AGUGAACGCUGGCGGUAGGCCUAACACAUGCAAGUCGAACGGCAGCACAGUAAGAGCUUGCUCUUACGGGUGGCGAGUGGCGGACGGGUGAGGAAUACAUCGGAAUCUACUUUUUCGUGGGGGAUAACGUAGGGAAACUUACGCUAAUACCGCAUACGACCUACGGGUGAAAGCAGGGGAUCUUCGGACCUUGCGCGAUUGAAUGAGCCGAUGUCGGAUUAGCUAGUUGGCGGGGUAAAGGCCCACCAAGGCGACGAUCCGUAGCUGGUCUGAGAGGAUGAUCAGCCACACUGGAACUGAGACACGGUCCAGACUCCUACGGGAGGCAGCAGUGGGGAAUAUUGGACAAUGGGCGCAAGCCUGAUGCAGCCAGACCGCGUGGGUGAAGAAGGCCUUCGGGUUGUAAAGCCCUUUUGUUGGGAAAGAAAAGCAGCAGGUUAAUACCCCGCUGUUCUGACGGUACCCAAAGAAUAAGCACCGGCUAACUUCGUG
Molecule: ribosomal RNA, 492 nt
Filed under: uncultured bacterium
Lineage: Bacteria
Description: partial 16S ribosomal RNA
Rfam family: Bacterial small subunit ribosomal RNA
Source: RNAcentral